CUUCCUACGGGAGGCUGCAGUAGGGAAUAUUGCACAAUGGAGGAAACUCUGAUGCAGCGACGCCGCGUGAGUGACGAAGGCCUUCGGGUUGUAAAGCUCUGUUCUCAGGGAAAAAGAAAGUGAUUGUACCUGAGGAGAAAGGACCGGCUAACUUCGUGCCAGCAGCCGCGGUAAGACGAGGGGUCCAAGCGUUGUUCGGAAUCAUUGGGCGUAAAGCGGGUGUAGGUGGCUCUAUAAGUCAGAAGUGAAAGCCCCGGGCUUAACCCGGGAAGUGCUUUUGAUACUGCAGAGCUUGAAUGUGGGAGAGGGUAGUGGAAUUCCAGGUGUAGUGGUGAAAUACGUAGAUAUCUGGAGGAACACCGGUGGCGAAGGCGGCUACCUGGCCCAACAUUGACACUGAGACCCGAAAGCGUGGGGAUCAAACAGGAUUAGAUACCCUAGUAGUCC
This 447-nucleotide ribosomal RNA is filed under the name uncultured Bdellovibrio sp. Its description in RNAcentral is "bacterial SSU rRNA". It matches the Rfam family "Bacterial small subunit ribosomal RNA", at positions 335 to 796 of the family's 1533-position model. Lineage: Bacteria; Pseudomonadati; Bdellovibrionota; Bdellovibrionia; Bdellovibrionales; Pseudobdellovibrionaceae. The record is from RNAcentral.